CAGUGGAAUUGACAGUUUCUUUUUUCCUCCCAUUCGAAAGUCUAUCGGCCAGUCGUUUUCAUAAAUACGAUUUUUGGUUGUUUUUGUUUUUUUUCUUGGGUCCGUCUCCUGUCACCGGCGUAUACCAUAUAGCUGGUCAUUGGGCUGCACGGCACGGGGCUGGUAACACGGUACGCACGGGACUAUAGCUUGAGAGGUUAGCGAGCUGUGUGUUUCGUAAAGUCUUGUUUGAUACUUUAUGACCGUUAUUAUUAGUCUAGCCACUGCCGCCGCAGCUGUAUUGACAUUUGAUGGCCGCCGAGUCCUCCGCCCUGCCGUGCUAAAUAUACCGGUCUAGUGUGUACCUCGUCGCACGAACGCAAGGAUCGUUUCAAGUUUAUUUUUUAUUUUUUAAUAAAUGUAGGAAAUGGGGUUUGGUGUUUGUCGGGAGUCAUCGACGAGAUGUCAAAAGCAAUAAGUAUUAUUUUCUCUCUUGGCUUCCAAGAGGGACCUGGAGGGUUUUAUUGUGAUGGUUUAAAAGUAAUUCUCUGAGGGUUUCCUGUAAUUUUUUUUUAUUUUUAUCUUAACUCUGGUAGAGGAGAUCUGGAUUUGGGGUGAGGAUCGAUUUUUAAUUAGUUCUAUCGAUAUCUUAAAAGCGCGGUAAUUAAUUAAAAGAAUAGUGUCGUCUGCUCAUUAAAUGACAAAAAUUGUGGUCUCGGGGUGACAUCUUGUCUCGUGGCUCUUUAUGGAAUAACUUAACACACACCCUGUAUUGUUAAUCAGAUUUGAGGCCUGAGCCAGCCAUCAUAACCACAAGAAGACAAGUCUUUCAUUCAACAAAAUCAGUAUCAUCACUUUUGGAUAAACAGCAUCCAUCUUUGAUUGGAGAAACUACCGAUCGAGUUACGAAUCUCUCCUUCCCCUUUCUCGAGUGUGGGUGCAGUCACGAGGACACCCUUAUUCCUAUCUCGUCUAGUGGAUUCAACUAGUCUUCGGAUGGAUGGAGCACUUACAGUGGAUGCCUGGCUGUAUUUCCCAGGCUUAAAGGGGAAUCCUAUCAUUGAAGAACAACAUUGCUGCUGCUGGGCUGGGCUGCUGUGGAAUCCACACAGUAACGAAAGUUGAACUAUUUCCUCCUUCAACUUCUCAUCUGCCCGUCAGGAAUGUGACGACGGGUUUUUUCCCAAGGUUUUUCCGGCCAUUGAAACUGAAAUGCCCCCCGA
Daphnia pulicaria is the source of this 1202-nucleotide long non-coding RNA. RefSeq lists it as uncharacterized. Lineage: Eukaryota; Metazoa; Arthropoda; Branchiopoda; Diplostraca; Daphniidae. The record is from RefSeq and is a predicted model, not a curated record. The transcript is spliced from 4 exons.